Long non-coding RNA from Nicotiana tabacum (common tobacco), 764 nucleotides. RefSeq lists it as uncharacterized. The record is from RefSeq and is a predicted model, not a curated record. NCBI's taxonomy places the organism in Eukaryota, Viridiplantae, Streptophyta, Magnoliopsida, Solanales, Solanaceae.
CUGUCCAUUUUCAGUUUUAGAAAGAUUCCCUCCCCUAAUUUUUAGCUGACAGGAUUCCUUUCUAUCCUCUCCCUUUUUCUACAAAUCACACACUUUAUAUAAGGUACUGGAUUUUAUAUUGUUCUGGGGAGAAAAAACACCCAUACACUCUCAUCCUCAUGGAUUUCUCUGAAGAAGAAAACAAUCUGAAAAUUCCAAUUUAGAGACAGAAAUACAAAAUAUAGAGAAAGUUCCAAUCUUUUCUUAUUCUGUCUUCCAGCUUCAUUUCUUUUGAGUUUUAUAAAUUUGAUUAACUGUUGAGACCUGGGUUUCACUGUUGAAAAUUACUACUGAGCUUCCAGUUUGAAUAAGAUUCUGUUCUUAUCUGGAUAUCUUGGUGCUUUCUUGCUUAACUAGCUUUAGCAAUAGCUCUAAACAUAAAGCUACUAUAGUUUGUCUACAUAUGUGAUGAGUAGGUAAAGCUAAAGAAUGGGAUUUUGAAGAUGUGUUUAAAAGUUUGUUGUUUCUAAUCUAAAGUGAAUGUUGAAACCAUCGAUGCACUAUUAGGGUGUAUUUGGAUCCAAGGAAGACUGUAAUUUAUUAUGACAAUUAUGUAUGUAAUAUAGGAUUACUGUGUCAAUGAUGUUAUUUGAAUCAUAUAUUGUGCCGCUAUUAUGUAAAGCAAGGCAGAUUUUAUUAUUUUUUGUGUCAAUUCCUUCCUACGGUUAAGUGUUGUAUCUGUUUCGACUCUUUACCAUCGCAAGGUUUAAAGAUUGGGUCUUUAA